This 397-nucleotide ribosomal RNA is filed under the name uncultured bacterium. RNAcentral's name for it is "partial 16S ribosomal RNA". It matches the Rfam family "Bacterial small subunit ribosomal RNA", at positions 523 to 918 of the family's 1533-position model. The record is from RNAcentral.
AUACGUAGGGGGCGAGCGUUGUCCGGAAUGAUUGGGCGUAAAGGGCGCGUAGGCGGCGCGGUAAGUCUGGAGUGAAAGUCCUGCUUUCAAGGUGGGAAUUGCUUUGGAUACUGCCGCGCUUGAGUGCAGGAGAGGUUAUCGGAAUUCCCGGUGUAGCGGUGAAAUGCGUAGAGAUCGGGAGGAACACCAGUGGCGAAGGCGGGUAACUGGACUGCAACUGACGCUGAGGCGCGAAAGUGUGGGGAGCAAACAGGAUUAGAUACCCUGGUAGUCCACACUGUAAACGAUGAAUGCUAGAUGUAAGAGGUAUCGACCCCUUUUGUGCCGGAGUCAACACAAUAAGCAUUCCGCCUGGGGAGUACGGCCGCAAGGUUGAAACUCAAAUGAAUUGACGGGG